This 345-nucleotide unclassified non-coding RNA is filed under the name soil metagenome. RNAcentral describes it as "partial contains 5.8S ribosomal RNA, internal transcribed spacer 2, and large subunit ribosomal RNA". The stretch from base 1 to 120 matches the Rfam family "5.8S ribosomal RNA", at positions 35 to 154 of the family's 154-position model. The record is from RNAcentral.
GAUGAAGAACGCAGCGAAAUGCGAUAAUUAAUGUGAAUUGCAGAAUUCAGUGAAUCAUCGAGUCUUUGAACGCACAAUGCGCCCCCUGGUAUUCCGGGGGGCAUGCCUGUCCGAGCGUCAUUGCUGCCCUCAAGCACGGCUUGUGUGUUGGGCCUCCGUCCUCCUCCCGGGGGACGGGCCCGAAAGGCAGCGGCGGCACCGCGUCCGGUCCUCGAGCGUAUGGGGCUUCGUCACCCGCUCUUGUAGGCCCGGCCGGCGCUUGCCGACUCAUCAAUCUUUUUUCCAGGUUGACCUCGGAUCAGGUAGGGAUACCCGCUGAACUUAAGCAUAUCAAUAAGCGGAGGA